RNAcentral lists this long non-coding RNA (15426 nucleotides) under Gossypium barbadense (sea-island cotton). Its description in RNAcentral is "long non-coding RNA (GBAR_LNC008388)". The record is from RNAcentral. Lineage: Eukaryota; Viridiplantae; Streptophyta; Magnoliopsida; Malvales; Malvaceae.
CAAUCUUAAAAAAAACAAAAAAAAACUUCCAUGCUCUCUUCCCCUCCCCCUUUUUCUUUCUGUCGAUUGGGUUCCUUAGAGACCCGCCCUACCGCCAACGACGACGGCGGUGACCACCGUGUACAGCGACGGAGCGCAACCUAGGUACGCCUACUUUAAAAUUUUUUUAUGUUUCUUUGUUAAAAAAAGGUUUUCUUGAAAAAAAAAGGAAAAAAAAAACAAUGAAUAAAUAUGAAAAAAAACAAGGUAAGCAGAGAACAAAAAGAAGAAAAAAGGAAAAAAAGAACAAAACUAAACCUCUUGAACCUUCCUUCUCUUUUUUGUUUUCAUAUCCGUUUUUAUUUCCAAUAUCUGUGUUACAAUCUUUCUUUUAAAAAAAAUAAACCCCCCAUUUUACAACAUUUUUAAUGGCUUUUUAUAGCCAUCUUUUACAAGUUUUUUUAUUACUUUUUCCAUAUUUUCCCGUCUUACUUGUUUGCGCUGUUUUUGCAGGGUAUGGGGGUGACUGGUGGAGCAGGUGAUGGUGGCUGGUGUCAGAGGAAAGUGGGGAGGUGGCUAGGGUUUUUUUUUGCUGGAAAAUGUUUAGUAGGUUAGUUUAGGUGGGCUGUUGGUUUAGAUUGGGUUUGAUGAUGUUGGGUUGAUGAAAUUGGGGUGGGUAUUUGGUUGUAUUUGGGCCAAAAUUGGCCUACAACAGCUGUCCCUCUUUGCUCUUUAUCGUGUAACGGGAAUAGAGCAAAGACAUAAUGAAAGGCCAAUUUUGCCCGGUCUUGCCAAUUGUUGACUUCUUUGGCGCUCUUCUUUUUCGAGCAGUCUCUUACUAGUCCAUCGCAUCUUGUAGCUUUGGUUCAGUUCAUUGCAUCUUCUGAUAUGGGCCUUGUAGCUUCAAUCUACUUCAAUGUAGUUUCAAGGAUAUGAGAUUUGUGGCUUCCAUCUACUUCACUGUAACUUCAGAAGGAUAAGAUCUACAGCUUCAAUCUUCUCUUCUAUUGCUUCCGUGAGAUAAGGUUUUGGUCUUCUCUUCUGCCACUUCAGAAAGGCAAGAUCUGAUAUCCUCGACCAGCUCCACUGCAACUUCAGGGAGACAAAAUCUGGUGCCUUCAAUCGGCUCCAAUCUUUGUUCUUUACUCGGUGUGUGAUCCUGAGCUCAACUUAUUUCUCGCAAUAUGAAUUGACUUUUAAAAACUAGACAUUAAAAACAAAAAUUGAAAAAUAGCUCAGCACGUGAGCAAAGGCUCAACUCACUUCUCGCAAUAUGAGUUGAUUUUUGAAAACAGAAUUUGCCAAACAGAUUUUGGAAACACCUUGGUAUGUAACCCGAGGCUCAACUCACCUCUCGUAAUAUGAGUUGAUUUUUGAAAAGCAUAAAUUGAAAAAACAUUAAUUGAAAAUACCUCAGCGUGCCUCGAGGCUCAACUCACCUCUCGCAAUAUGGGUUGAUUUUGACAAACAGAAAUUGAAAAACAGAAAUUGAAAAGACCUCAGCAUGUGAGCCGAGGCUCAACUCACCUCUCGCGAUAUGAGUUGAUUUUUGACAAACAGAAAUUGAAAUUACCUCAGCAUGUCCUGAGGCACAACUCACCUCUCGCAAUAUGAGUUGAUUUUUUUUUAAGAGCAGAAAUUGGAAAGCAGAAAUCGAAAAUACCUCAGUGUGCCCUGAGGCUCAACUCACCUCUCGCAAUAUGAGUUGAUUUUUUUGACAAACAUAAAUUGAAAUUACCUCAGCGUGUCCUGAGGCUCAACUCACCUCUCGCAAUAUGAGUUGAUUUUUUUGAAAAGCAAAAAUUGAAAAGCAGAAAUUGAAAAUACCUCAGCAUGCCCUGAGGCUCAACUCACCUCUCGCAAUAUGAGCUGAUUUUUGAAAAACAGAAAUUGAAGAAAACAGAAAUUGAAAUUACCUCAGCAUGUCCUGAGGCUCAACUCACCUCUCGCAAUAUGAGUUGAUUUUUGAAAAACAUAAAUAAAACAUCAUAAUACCAAAACAUGUCAUCUGGUGGAAUUCAUGUGUCUUUUCAGCUAUCAUCACAUCCUCUUGCUCUACUGGAGUACCUGUAUAUGUCAUGCAUGAUGUCAUCAUGAUAUGCACAUGUUUGUCUUAAAUGCAUUUAUGCCUACAUGAUUAUGAUAUGAGCUUUAGGCAUGUUUGUCAUAUAUCCCUUUUUCGUCACGAUUUUUGAUGAUCUGUGUUCAUUGUUUCGACUCUUGACUUUCUCUUCAGGCUCUGUACCCGUCCUCAAGCUUCACGAAUAAUCUGUAUUUCCCAGAUAUCACUCUUUUGCCCCUGGUUGAGUUUUGUCCUUGCGUUGAGGCUCUUGUACUUAUCAAAUUCUUACCAUGGGUAAUGCUUAACAUUUCUUUUGUUUAGAGUAUGUCAUUUCACUAUUUAUCAUGUAAAUAGACCACAUAAUGAGAUGCAUGAAAAAAAUGGUCAGGUAGGGACAAAAGGAUACCUCGCAUUUAUUCAUUUCAAAUGUAGUAAACAAAGAAAGUUAACCAAUAAUAGUAAAAAAGUGUCAUAAAGAGAAAAGGGAUUGCAUUCAACGAAUACAAAUGCUCUAGAUAUUCAAUGCAUGAACUUUUCUACGUUUCUCAAUCAAGAAUCUUUUCGAGCAUGGCUUGUUGCGUAGAAGAUUUUGAGCUUUCAGAAAUGCUUCAAAUACUGUAGUCUCACUAUUUGACCCACCGUUCAAAACGCCUUGUUCUUUAAGCCCGGGUUUGCUUCAUUAGAAUGCCCUUUCGAUUUUUCAUCCUAAUCUUUUGUGUUUAAUCAAGAUGCCCUUUUUGGGUUUUCACAUUGAUCCCUUUUUUCUCUUUUUUUUAAGAUGCCCUUUUCGGGUUUUCAUCUUGGUUUCCUUUUUCAAGCAUAAUAUUUCUUUACAACAUCUGAGUUCACUAGACUCAGUAACUCCUUCCCAUCCAUCUCGGUGAGAAUCAAAGCUCCGCCCGAGAAUGCCUUCUUUACGACGUAUGGUCUUUCCCAAUUCGGUGCCCAUUUUCCUCGCAGGUCUUUUUGUAUUGGGAGAAUCUUUCUCCGCACGAGUUCUCCUUCGCGGAAUUCUCUUGGCCGUAUUUUCUUGUCAUGAGCCGCGAUCAUUCUCUUCUGGUACAUUUGUCCAUGACAAAUUGCCUUUAGACGUUUUUCUUCGAUGAGGUUUAACUGGUCAUAUCGAGCUCGAACCCAUUGUGUUUCCUCUAAUUUCAACUCUAUUAAGACUCGUAGAGAGGGGAUCUCAACUUCGAUAGGUAGCACAGCUUCCAUUCCAUAGACUAGAGAGAAAGGAGUUGCCCCCGUAGAUGUCCGUACAGAUGUGCGAUAUGCAUACAAAGCAAAUGGUAGCUUCUCGUGCCAGUCUUUAUAUGUCUCAGUCAUUUUCCCAAUAAUCUUCUUAAUAUUCUUGUUGGCCGCUUCAACCGCUCCAUUCAUCUUUGGGCGAUAGGGCGAGGAGUUAUGAUACUUUAUUUAAAAUUGCUCACACACUUCUUUCAUCAUCUUGUUGUUCAAAUUCAAGGCGUUAUCUGAAAUGAUUCUUUCAGGCAAACCAUAUCGACAAAUGAUUUCAUUUUUCAAAAACCUGCAAACCGCAGUCUUCGUCACAUUGGCAAACGAUGUGGCUUCUAUCCAUUUUGUGAAGUAAUCAAUGACCACAAAAAUGAACCGGUGUCCAUUGGAAGAUUUUGGGGAAAUUGGCUCUCUAACAUCCAUGCCCCACAUAGAAAAAGGCCACGGAGAAGUCAUGACGUGAAGGGGCAAAGGGGCUACAUGAAUUUUAUCACCAUAAAUUUGACAUUUGUGGCAUUUUCGUGUGAAAUUAAUACAGUCACUUUCUAUCGACAGCCAGUAAUAUUUGAGUCUUAUAAUCUUCCUGGCCAUAGUGAAACCAUUGGCAUGUGUCCCGCAAAUUCCUUCAUGGACAUCUUUAAGUAUUUUUCUGGCUUCAACUGUAUCCACGCAUCUCAAGAGCACCUGAUCUUUUCCUCUUUUGUAUAGGAUGUCCCCAUCAAGAAUAAAUUUCGCUGCCAUUCUUCUGAUUGUUCUUCUGUCGUUCACAUUUGCUUGCUCGGGAUACCUUUGAUUCUUGAUGUAUUCUAAGAUAUCAUGGAACCAUGGCUGCCCAUCUGGCUCUUUCUCAAUGCUGAAACAAUGUGCAGGGACUUUAUAUAUGCUCAUUUGAAGAGACAUUAUUUCUGUUUCUCUGUUUGCUUUAAACAUUGAAGCCAAAGUGGCCAGGGCAUCAGCUAACUGGUUUUCUUCUCGUGGAAAGUAAUUAAAAGUUAUUUCUUUGAAUUCUUUAAUCAACCCUGCCACGAGAUCACUGUAUUUGACUAAUUUUGAAUCCCUCACUUCCCAAUUUCCAUGGAUCUGAUAAAUCACUAAUGCUGAGUCUCCGUAUACCUCUAAAGUUUGGAUGUUUUGUUCAAUUGCUGCACGAAGUCCCAUGAUACAAGCUUCAUAUUCCGCUAUGUUAUCGGUACAAAAGAAAUUCAGCCUGGCGGUGAACGGAUAAUGGUUCCCUUCUGGUGAUACUAAGACUGCUCCAAUCCCAUGCCCCAAUGCAUUCGAUGCACCAUCAAAGCUCAUCCUCCAUGACUUUUCUUUUGAUGACUCACAUUCUUUUUCUGUAAUGCACAUUAAGUCUUCAUCUGGGAAAUCAAAUUUCAAUGGCUCGUAUUCCUUCGUUGUUCGAGUUGCUAAGAAGUCAGCUAUUGCACUCCCUUUUAUCGACUUUUGACUCACAUAGAUAAUGUCAUAUUCUGAUAGUAAGAUCUGUCAUCUUGCCAUUCUUCCUAAGAGUGCGGGUGAUUCCAUCAUGUACCUUAUUGGGUCCAACUUUGAAAUUAGCCAUGUCGUAUGAUACAGCAUAUAUUGCCUGAGUCUCCGAGCUACCCAAACCAGAGCGCAGCAGUAUUUUUCUAUGGAUGAAUACUUUGCCUCAUAUUCAGUAAACUUUUUACUGAGGUAGUAGAUCACCUUUUCUUUCUUUCCUGACUCGUCGUGUUGCCCCAGUACGCAACCCAUUGAAUUCUCGAACACAGUCAAAUAUAAUAUCAAUGGUCUUCCCAGCAUUAGCUGUACUAGCACAGGAGGAUUAGACAAAUACUGUUUUAUCUUGUCAAAAGCCACUUGGCACUCCUCGUUUCAUUCUCCGGGAUUAUGUUUUCGAAGGAGUCGAAAGAUUGGAUCGCAUUGGUUGGUAAGUUGAGCAAUAAAUCGGGCGAUGUAGUUUAACCUCCCUAAAAAUUCUCUGACUUCCUUUGGCGUGCGCGGAGGUGGUAACUCUUGAAUAGCUUUUAUUUUAUCCGGAUCAACCUCGAUACCUCUUUCACUGACAAUGAAGCCCAGCAAUUUUCCCAAGGUAGCCCCAAACGUACAUUUGGCCGGAUUGAGUUUUAGCUGGAACUUUCUCAGUCUGUCGAACAAUUUCUUCAGGUUCACUACAUGCUAUUCUUCCCCUCGGGAUUUAGCAAUCAUAUCGUCGACGUAGACCUCUAUUUCUUUAUGCAUCAUGUCAUGGAAUAACGUCACCAUAGCCCUCUGAUAUGUGGCCCCAGUAUUCUUUAACCCAAAUGGCAUCACCUUGUAGCAGAAUGUUCUCCACAUUGUUACGAAGGUAGUUUUCUCCAUAUCCUCAGGGGCCAUCUUAAUCUGAUUAUACCCUGAGAAUCUGUCCAUGAAAGAAAACAAUGAAUGUUUUACGGUGUUAUCCACAAACGUAUCAAUGUGUAGUAAGGGAAAAUUAUCUUUAGGACUUGCUCGAUUCAGGUCACGAUAAUCCACGCACAUUCGUACUUUGCCAUCUUUCUUUGGUACCGGGACUAUGUUAGCCACCCAUUCUGGAUAUUUGGAGGCUUGUAGGAAACCAGCAUCAAAUUGCUUCUUGACUUCCUCUUUUAUCUUCAACAAUAUCUCAGGUCUCAUCCGUCUUAGCUUUUGUUGAAUGGGCUUACAUUCUGGCUUUAAUGGGAGCUUAUGGACCGCUACAUCUUCUUCCAAUCCUGGCAUGUCCUGAUAUGACCAUGCGAAUACAUCUUUGUACUCACGGAGCAAAGCAAUCAAAUUAUGCCUGCUGCCCCCUGAAAUAGAAGUCCCAAUCUUCACUUCUUGCUUCCUUUCUUCAGUUCCCAGAUUUAUUGUUUCAACAGAUUCUUGAUGAGGCAAAAUCUAUUUAUCCUCUUGUUCCACCAUUCUUAGCAAGUCAGGAGACAAGACAUAGUCUUCAGCAUUUUCUUCGACUUCAAAUUCUCCUAAACAAACAGUCUUCUCAAAAUUGAUUUCAGAACUCGUAACGGGUUUGUUCAUGCUGUUGAUAUCUGAGCACCUGAAAGUUGAAUGGAAAAGGAAACUAUAGAGGGGCAUCUAAGUAUUGAAACCAACAAACUGAAUGUUAUGGUAUGACGUGAGGCAAUUGUAAAGAUAGGCUAUAAAAUGAUUAUGGAAUUAGUAAUAAUACGAAAAAAUCGUGACAAAAUGCAUCUUCAUUGAUAUUCAUUUAAAUGAUAAAGAGCGUAUGCAAGCUCUUACAAAAAGAAUUCUGUUAUAUCUGAGGACAUAACAGAAUGUUAACGUUUGAGCAUUACUCUGAAGACUUAUAAACUACAAGAAGAUCCUGGGCAGUCCAAUUGUUCAACAUGAAACCCGGGGGACAAGGGCGUAUCUUUGAGACGUCUUUAUUCGCGUCAGCUCCUUUGUCAAUGACAUUUAUACUGAUAUUCUGAAAACCCUCUUCGAUCAUUAACAUUGUGCUUUGUGCACUAUACUGCCCUGGGUAUAUUCUUGACAAAGGAGGGAAUUCCAUGGGCUCCCAUCCUGGUUCUCGGCCUAGUGUUCUUGCGAUCCUUCUUUCAUGAUCUUUCUUCCACUGCUUUCUUCUUUGACGCAUGUCCGGCUGGAACCCUAAACCGUAUCGGGCCUUGUGGUGUACUGGCUUUAGAGCUCUGACUAUUCAUUGCAGGUACCUUCCCAAACCUUUCCUUACUCCGGCUCCCUUUCUUACAGUCAAUUUGACACCCAUCUUGGCAUUUCUUGACAGUUUUGGCGCGGGAAUUCUGUUUCCCUCAACGACGAAUGUGGCAUUGACGAAUUCAAGGGAUCGGAAGGAACAUUCUACUGCGUUUUUGCUUACUUCGAGGUAGGGUGCAUCAGUAGAGAUAGAUGCGCCAAUGUCUUCUUCUCCCUCGACAGUGACCAAACAACCAUCCAUGAUAAAUUUCACCUUUUGAUGGAGGGAUGAUGGUACUGCUCCAGCAGAAUGGAUCCAAGGUCUUCCCAAGAGACAAUUGUAUGAUGGUGUAAUGUCCAUGACUUGAAACUCAACAUUGUAUAUGUAGGGACCCACUUCUAGAGGGAUCUCGAUUUUUCCUAUAACUUCUCGUCUUGUUCUAUCGAAUGCCCUUACUGUAGAAUGGCAAGGCCUUAGAUAGGACAAAUCCAUCGGAAUCCUGGAAAGUAUGGCCAAAGGCAUGACAUUGAGUGCCGAUCCAUUGUCGAUGAGCACGUUCGGUAUUAUAUAGCCCUUACAACGGGUUGUGAUAUGCAAUGCUUUCAUUGAGCCUCUACCAUUGAGCGGUAUUUCAUCGUCACUAAAGGCAAUGAAAUUAUCCGCAUUCAAGUUGUUCAUCCAUCUAUCCAGUUUUUCAACGGAUACAUUGUUUGCCACAUAAGCUUGAUUUAACACUUUCAGCGGAGCGUUCCGGUGUGGUUCUGAAUUCAACAGCAGAGAUAAUACCGAGAUUCACGCUGGAUGCUUACUCAAUUGUUCUACCACGUUGUACUCACUGUGCUUGAUAAAUUUUAAGAAUUCCUGUGCUUCCUCCUCGUCCACAGGCUUUUUAGCUUCUUGUUCAAGCACAGUUUCAUGCUCCUUUUCGGUCACGUGCAUCGGUGUUUUUCCUUUCUGUUUCAAGUCACUGUUCUUCUUCACCUCCUUCGAAUAACAUCUUCCACUACGAGUGAAAUGACCUACUUCCCUGACGCCUCCAGUCAUGGCUUUGGGUUUUUCAUCUUCAGGUGUGACGAUAUUAACGUCAUAUUUCUACGGUAUUGCUUUAUUGUCCUUGUAAGGGAAAGGAGACGGUACUUCAAUUAUCAUUUUUGGUUUCACCGGUUCUUUCCUUGCAUCGUAAUAAAUUACGAAUGGUUGAUCGACGCUAUACGGACAACUUGACGAUUGAUUGUCAGAGGCACAUACUUCUUUCUCAUUGGCCUCUCAUUGAUUAAUGACCGCAAUCUCCUUAUUAUCUAUCCGGUCUUGCAGUAACCUUUUAAAUUCCUCACAUGAUUGACUGUCGUGCCCUACAAUUCCAUGAAAAUCACAAAAAACCUGACAUUCUUUUUUGAGAUUAUCGUCGGGGUGACAGAGCAAUCCAUUCUUAACCAGUGCCUCCCAGAUUUUCUAUAGAGGUGUCCUUAUUUCUGAAACACAUCUUCUGACUUGCCAUUCAUCUUCUUUCCCCACUGUGCUCACAUUCCCUUCAGUAUGGUUAGGGAACGGGUUCCCAGUUGCAUUACUGGCACUAUCGAAUCAUAAGAUACCCGCAUCAAUUAGUCCUUGAACUCUCCUCUUAAAGGCUAGGCAAUUUUCUGUGGAAUGUCCCUGGUUUCCUGAAUGGUAUGCACAACUAGCGUUUGGGUCGUACCAUUUCGGGUAUGAGGGCCUCAAGGGUGCCAUAUAAUGCGGGGAUAUCAAUUGCUUCUCCAAAAUUUUUAGGUACAGCUCCCAUAUGACACAGGAAUAGGGGUAAAUUGUGGUUUCUCGGAAUAGGGUUUUGCUGGCCUCUGCUCGUUUUUGGGUUGGCCUUGGGCGGGUAUUGUAUUUUGUGGGAAUAUAGUGACAGGCCUUUGGUUGUUCAUGGCGUAUACGGGGUAGAAAGGAGGUGGUGCUCGGUAGUAAGGGGUCUGAGGAGGAUAAUAGAAAUUCAGAGGAGGAUAAUUUUGAGGUCGGGGUUGGUUUGAAUAUGGGUUAGGGGCAUAACGGCUUCCCAUUCCCACCAUGUGGGCUUCUGGUUCUUUCUUCUUCAUGGGCGCUGCCUUUCUUGAACUUUCUUGACCUUCCAUUCUACCGCUCUUGACGGCAUUCUCUAUAAGUUUACCGGAUAUUACAAUAUCCGCAAAGUCUUUCGUGGUACUUCCCACUAGUUUGUCAUAAAACGGUACUUUCAAAGUGUUGAUGAAAAGAACGGUUAUCUCUAUUUUCGUUAAUGGGGGUUACACUUGGGCUGAGACAUCCUUCCAUCUCUGCGCAUAUUGUCUAAAAGUUUCUGACGGCUUUUUCUCCAUCAUUUGCAAAGUCAUCCGGUCAGGUACCAUAUUCGAUACAUGCUUGUAUUGCUCACAGAAUGCUGAUGCCAAGUCCUUCCAAGAUCGGAUCAUUUCCCUACUAAGCUGGUUGUACCACCGAAAAGCUGAUCCUACUAGACUGUCCUGAAAACAAUGUAUGAGUAGCUGGUCUUCAUUCACGUAACCAGUCAUUUUUCGGCAAAACAUAACAAGUUGUGCCUUUGGACAUCUCGUGCCAUCGUAUUUUUCGAAAUCAGGCACCUUGAACUUCGGAGGCAGAACUAGAUCGGGCACCAAACUGAGCUCUUUGGCACUUAGUGCAGAGAAGGCUUCAGUACCCUCUAUUGCUUUGAGUCUUUCCUCUAAGCUCCUAUACUUCUCUUGAGCCUCAAGAUCGUCCAUUCUCAACCUGGCUAUUUUCACUGGAUUGUCCAAAUCUAGAACAAUUGGAUUGGCGGGAUUAGCUCCAGAAUUUGAUAUGAAUAUUCCUUGCCCUAAAUGAGUAUGUGGCACUGGCCGUUGCUCUGGGUCUGUGGGUUCUCCUUGGGUGUACCCUCUUUAUGCUGCGCGGGCGUGUGGUGGAGUGAAUCCGGGGGGAUAGAGCGAGUCUUGAUUGUGAUUAACUCUUGACCGAGAUUCCUCGAUGUUAGGGCUCUGCAUGAAUCCCUUUCCUUUAACUAAAGCUGACAUCAUCUCCAUCAUCUUGGCCAUUUGAUCCUUCUGUUCGAGCGAUUCUUCUCGUGAUCUCACCAUUAAGUCUCUCGUCUCUUGCUAUGACCUAGCCAACUGCUCUUGUAAUUCCUUUUGGAUUCUUUCCAUUCUUUCAAUCCUUUCAUUGAAUUUAGCCUCCAUUGUUCUAGUUUGCCGACGUGUUCUAUACGAGUGGCGUGGUUCCAGAUUUGAAAUAUUACAACUGCGAAUUGUACAUUUUAACUUCAGCAAAUGAGUACGGGAUAUGCCAUGAAUGAAUGAAUAAAUGCAUGAAUGCUUGAAUGCCAAAUGAAUAUUAGUCAUGAAUGACAUGUAAGAAAUUGGUGUUGAUUUCAAGAUAGCCCCUAUUUAGGUAUUUCAUUCAUCAAAAAAGUUUAUUACAAAACAUUUUGCCAUUUUUGAUUCAGCUAUUACAUAAACUUUCUAGCUAUAUCGCCAUAUUUCUUUUUUCGCUCUAGGAAUUCCGAUAUGCUCGAUCGUUGGCUUGGUGGGAAUUGGCAACUGAGAUUUUCAACUUCUUCUGAUAAUUGUACCACGUGCAUGGCUACCCCACGAACUUCAUUGAUCAAAUAGCUAAGUUGCCUUUCUUUUUUCUGGAGGCCCUCUUCGCAAGCACGAACGUCUUUAUCAUACUGACAAUCUUUUUCUUCCAAAGCCUUCAAGAGAGUAUCUAACUGUUGUUGAUGAUCUUACAGCAUAUCUUCUAACUCUCGUAUCCUUUCUUUUAGUUCUUGACGUUUAGAUCGACUAGUCAUCACCUCGGCAGACACUACUUCAUAUUCGGCGUUCUUCUUCCUCAAUCCUAUCAUAGCUCGCGCAGCCUUUUCUUCCUCUUUCUUUGCUUUUCCUUUCCAAAAUUCCAUCCCUCCUUUAAUGUUGCUUAUCUCCUCUUUCCAUUCUACCGAUGACUUGCCCAACCACUAUUUUUCAUUGUGCCUCUUAACUUUUUAUUUUCCAGAUGGAGGUCUCUUAAGUCAUUUCUCACGACUUCAACUUCUUUUUGUACUUUCUCGGUUCUGGAUCUUUCAAUCUGAAUGUCGAUCUUCAAUUGGUAGUUUUCUUCUUGAAGGGCACUAAGGUCCCGAGACAUCUUGGCAUUUUCUCGUUCAAAUUCUUGUCUUGCUAUUUCUAGCUCAGACGGCAUUUCCUCUGAGAAAGGAUUCUGGACGAUGGAGUUUGUUGACGAGAUUUGCUGACUAUUUAUCCGUUACUUCCUCCAUAUGUUGUAAUCUUGAGUUAGGGUAUCAGCAUAUAAGGCCAAUUCCAUUAGAUGAAUUUUCUUCCAAGAUUUUGCAUUAUCUCGGACCUUCUUCAUAUAUCCUUCACCCACGAAAGCGAACUCGGAUUGUACCAAUCCUCCAGUGGCGGGUAUGAAUUGCCGCGAAGAAAAUUGCCUUUGGACUAAUAAUGGGGCAUAUCCGACUCCUCCCCAUAAUCCGAGUAGUGGCACCCAAUCUUGAUCUCCGACCUUGUAUAGCAGAACUGACGGGCGUAUCCAUGGGGCUCUCCAAGUUACGUCAUCGGCGCGAAGAUUCUGAAAGACUGAGACCCAGUGUUGUUCAGUGACCUUCUUCGGCCAUUCUUUCUUGAGAUAAGCUUCUAACGAAGAGAAUGUUUUAGAAAACAUAUGAAACGGUGUGCGCUCUACUUUCCAGAAGUGGCUCAGAAUCCAAACAUUAAGUAACUGCGCGCAUCCGAUAAAAUGACCUUCCCCUUUCUUCCUACAGCUACUUAGUGAUCUGAAGGUUUCGGCCAGGAUAGUUAGGACAGGGUUGAUUCCUUGUUUUAAUCUUUCGAAGAAAUCUACCACCGUAACUUCUAUGUGUCCAAGGACCUUCGGAAAGAUGAUCAAACUGUAAAUGGCCAGAGCGAACAGAUUUACCCUUUUCAACAUGUCGGGAUGGUUCAGAACCAAGUCUCGUAGGGAAGACCAUGGGAUACAAAUGGUUUUAUUCUUCUUCUUUAUCUGUUUUUCGACCCACGCGUCAAUCAUGUCUGUCACUCUUACUAACUUUUUCUAGAAGGUCAUUGGCUUAGGCUCUUUCACAUAUAUCUUAUAGGGUUGUAUAUUAUCGACACGGAGCAAAGCAGUGUACUCUUCUAUAGUCGGGGUCAUGUCUUCCUGAUUGAAAGUAAAACAGUGGUAGGCUGGAUCCCAAAAUCUGACCAUGGCUUGGAUCAAUCGUUCGUCUACGCUGACAGCAAUCAAGUUGGCUAUGUCUCCAUAUCUCUCGACGAAGAUACCUCUAGUAUCCGAGUCCCACUGAUUCCAAACCCGAACCAAAUCUUCAAGGUUAUUCUGGUGAACAUUUACAGUUACGUGCUCGGGCAAAUUGGCAAUACAUCCCUCCACUAGACUAUCCCAUUUUUCUUUCUGAGUUUUUAGAGACCAAUCUCGGACUACGGCAUUUUCCUCGGUUGUUUUUAUAAUUGACUCUUCCAUUAGAAACUCGUUUUUUGGCAACCGAUCUUUAGUCAACACCUUUCUAAUAUGAUGCCUAUAAUGCAUGAUGAAAAACAAUACGGCAAAGACAAAUAAUCUUGAUUAGUAAUUAAAUACAGACAUAAAAAAUAUAGAAAAUUGAACGAAUGAAAUUACCCAAAUCUAGUUUAUUAAACAGACUCAAUCCCCUUUGUAUAUACAGUGAAAAUGCAAAAGGCAAGAAGCGUUCCUCCCGUACACUUAUUUUGCUGACUACUAAACGGACGGAGGUUUAGCAUGGCUCUAGUUAGGUGGCUCGUAUGGUUCAUUAUAUGCGGUUUUGGUUCUAGAUAGGUACUCAAAUUGUCCGUACUGUCAUCUGCUAAGAUUAGUACGAAGCCUUGGUCAUAGCCCAUCACAGACUCACGAGUUCAAUUCGAGGGAUUACAUUUACUUAUGCCUAUACGGAGGGACAAGUUAACUCACGAAAGCAUAAGUCAUAUGUAACCCGAAAGUAUUCACUAGCCUGUACGGAGGGACGAGUUAACCCACGAAGGCGUAGCAUUUACUUUCACUUAAACGGACGGGGCCCGGGUUGAGAGCUCAUGUUAUGCGAAAUGCAAGUGCACGGUGCGUAGGGAGAAACUUGCAAACCUUUCAUUUAUUUUAAAACUACAAAACUAAAACCGUAAAACUUAAAGCUGAAAAACAAAAGAUAAAACAAAUUAGGAGAUAUGUAUGUAUGAUUUUUUUUGAAAACAAAACUUAAGAAUCAUGAUUAAAUAUUAAUUUGAACACGGAAAUUUGAAAAUUUUGACAACACGCGUUUAAUUCAACUCGACUCUCAAAAAUGAAAGUCCCCAGUGGAGUCGCCAACUGUAGCGACGUAAAAAUGUUUAGCUUUGGUCGCUAAUUGUGGCGAUUUAUUGAAAACUUGAAAACUGAAGUUUGAUUUUAAAAUAAAGAGGGAGUCGCCACCGAUCCUUUUUCCUAGGUGUGAUCGGACACCUAUUAGAUUUAUUUUUUAAAACAAAAGGAAGGUCGAGUUUAGGUCUACGUCAAAAAUCCAGAGAAAAAUAAGGUUCGGGAGUCGGUUACGCGCGGGGAAGGUAUUAGCACCCUCGCGACGCCCAAAAUUGGUAUCUUAUAAACACGUGUUGUCUUGAUUUUCAAAAAUGCGAGUUCAAUGUAAUAUUUAGUCGUGAUCCGAUUAAAAAGACGAAAAAUUUUAGUUUUAUUUUUUUUGGUUUUUUAGAAGGGUGUUCCGCAUUUAGCACGAGCCGACAAAUUCCACCCAACAUAGCGAUGAAAUCUAUGACUUAAUGUUAAAUCGGCACGUUGCUUUAUUUAUUGAAAUUAAUUAAAACAUAAGAAAAAACUAUUUCUAAAGUGAGAAUUUAAAAAUAGAUAAACGACGCAAACAAUGAUAUCAUUAAUGAAAAAUUUUAACAUGGAAUACUAGAAAUUAUUAUAACAAUAAUAAUGAUAUUUGUAAAAAAAGAAAAUAAAAAUAAAUCGUGUACUAAUAAUAAGAAAAAAUGAUAUAUUUGGUAAUAAUAAUAUAAAAUAAUAUGUACAUAAAAGAUACUUCAUAUAUAUGCAUAUAAUAAGAGUAUAUAAUAAUAUCUACAAUAAAAGAAAAUAUUAGGAAAUGUACAAAAAAUAUAUAUAUAAAAUAUUUACAAUAAUGAUGUAAAUAAACAACAUAUAAAAUAUUUGAAAUAACAUAUAAAUGAAACAUUUAAAAAAAAGGUUAAUAAAUGAAUUAAAUAGAUUUAGGACAUGGCUAAAAACAAAUUAAAAUUCAGGAUAUAAAAGUAUAAAUAUUGGAUAGUUAAUUAGGGAUCAAAACGAAAACCAAACAAGAUCUGAGGGCCAAAUUUAAAAAAACAAAAGAAGAUAGAAAAUGAGGGUUAAUUGAAUGAGGUUGCGAGAGAGGAGGACUAAACGCAUAAAUUUCCCUUUUAGGGAAAGUGCACAGACCCCACCCACCAAACAAAAUAGUGCCUUUUCAACACCAUUAUUUUAAAACAAAGAUUUUUUUUUGUGUUUCAUUUUCAACCCCCAAUCUUAAAAAAAACAAAAAAAACUUCCAUGCUCUCUUCCCCUCCCCCUUUUUCUUUCUGUCGAUUGGGUUCCUUAGAGACCCGCCCUACCCCCAACGACGACGGUGAUGACCGCCGUGUACAACGAAGCAGCGCAACCUAGGUACUCCUACUUUAAAAUUUUUUUAUGUUUCUUGGUUAAAAAAAAAGUUUUCUUGAAAUAAAAAGGAAAAAAAAACAAUGAAUAAAUAUAAAAAAAAACAAGGUAAGCAGAGAACAAAAAGAAGAGAAAAGGAAAAAAAGAACAAAACUAAACCUCUUGAACCUUCCUUCUCUUUUUUGUUUUCAUAUCCGUUUUUAUUUCCAAUAUCUGUGUUACAAUCUUUCUUUUAAAAAAAAUAAACCCCCCCUUUUACAACAUUUUUGAAUGGCUUUUUAUAGCCAUCUUUUACAAGUUUUUUUAUUACUUUUGCCAUAUUUUCCCGUCUUGCUUGUUUGCUCUAUUUUUGUAGGGUAUGGGGGCGACUGGUGGAGCAGGUGAUGGUGGCUGGUGUCAGAGGAAAGUGGGGAGGUGGCUAGGGUUUUUUCUUUGCUGGAAAAUGUUUAGUAGGUUAGUUUAGGUGGGCUGUUGGUUUAGAUUGGGUUUGAUGAUGUUGGGCUGAUGAAAUUGGGGUGGGUAUUUGGUUGUAUUUGGGCCAAAAUUGGCCUACAACAGUAUGUAUGUAAACUAUAUAUAAUGUUUGAUAGUGAGAAUAUAACUAAUAAUGUUAAAAUAUAUACAUAAUAUAUACAUGUAUACAUAUGAAAAAUGUGUGCACAUGACGUAUAUGAAAAAUAUAUACAUAGUAAUAUAAAAUAAUAAGUGAUGAUAGUAAAACUAAUGGGUAUAAUAAUUAUAAUGAUAUACGAAAAUAAUACUAUAUAUAAAAUAUGCAUACAAGUAUAAUAAAAUAUAUGUCUUGAUAUUAAUAACAAAC